This 566-nucleotide ribosomal RNA is filed under the name uncultured bacterium. RNAcentral's name for it is "partial 16S ribosomal RNA". It matches the Rfam family "Bacterial small subunit ribosomal RNA", at positions 355 to 914 of the family's 1533-position model. The record is from RNAcentral.
UGGGGAAUUUUGGACAAUGGGGGAAACCCUGAUCCAGCCAUCCCGCGUGUGCGAUGAAGGCCUUCGGGUUGUAAAGCACUUUUGGCAGGAAAGAAACGUCGCGGGUUAAUACCCCGCGAAACUGACGGUACCUGCAGAAUAAGCACCGGCUAACUACGUGCCAGCAGCCGCGGUAAUACGUAGGGUGCAAGCGUUAAUCGGAAUUACUGGGCGUAAAGCGUGCGCAGGCGGUUCGGAAAGAAAGAUGUGAAAUCCCAGAGCUUAACUUUGGAACUGCAUUUUUAACUACCGGGCUAGAGUGUGUCAGAGGGAGGUGGAAUUCCGCGUGUAGCAGUGAAAUGCGUAGAUAUGCGGAGGAACACCGAUGGCGAAGGCAGCCUCCUGGGAUAACACUGACGCUCAUGCACGAAAGCGUGGGGAGCAAACAGGAUUAGAUACCCUGGUAGUCCACGCCCUAAACGAUGUCAACUAGCUGUUGGGGCCUUCGGGCCUUGGUAGCGCAGCUAACGCGUGAAGUUGACCGCCUGGGGAGUACGGUCGCAAGAUUAAAACUUAAAUGAAUUGAC